This 65-nucleotide non-coding RNA is filed under the name marine eukaryotic metagenome. RNAcentral's name for it is "DUF805 RNA". It matches the Rfam family "DUF805 RNA", at positions 6 to 64 of the family's 68-position model. The record is from RNAcentral.
GAGUGGAGUUACGGAACCACUUAAAAAAACGAGGCGUUAUCUGAAAAGCCAAACGAGUAAGGAAC